AUGCAAGUCGAGCGGUAGAGAGGUGCUUGCACCUCUUGAGAGCGGCGGACGGGUGAGUAAAGCCUAGGAAUCUGCCUGGUAGUGGGGGAUAACGCUCGGAAACGGACGCUAAUACCGCAUACGUCCUACGGGAGAAAGCAGGGGACCUUCGGGCCUUGCGCUAUCAGAUGAGCCUAGGUCGGAUUAGCUAGUUGGUGAGGUAAUGGCUCACCAAGGCGACGAUCCGUAACUGGUCUGAGAGGAUGAUCAGUCACACUGGAACUGAGACACGGUCCAGACUCCUACGGGAGGCAGCAGUGGGGAAUAUUGGACAAUGGGCGAAAGCCUGAUCCAGCCAUGCCGCGUGUGUGAAGAAGGUCUUCGGAUUGUAAAGCACUUUAAGUUGGGAGGAAGGGCAUUAACCUAAUACGUUAGUGUUUUGACGUUACCGACAGAAUAAGCACCGGCUAACUCUGUGCCAGCAGCCGCGGUAAUACAGAGGGUGCAAGCGUUAAUCGGAAUUACUGGGCGUAAAGCGCGCGUAGGUGGUUCGUUAAGUUGGAUGUGAAAUCCCCGGGCUCAACCUGGGAACUGCAUUCAAAACUGUCGAGCUAGAGUAU
RNAcentral lists this ribosomal RNA (599 nucleotides) under uncultured bacterium. RNAcentral describes it as "bacterial SSU rRNA". It matches the Rfam family "Bacterial small subunit ribosomal RNA", at positions 55 to 649 of the family's 1533-position model. The record is from RNAcentral.